This 417-nucleotide ribosomal RNA is filed under the name uncultured bacterium. RNAcentral's name for it is "bacterial SSU rRNA". It matches the Rfam family "Bacterial small subunit ribosomal RNA", at positions 335 to 744 of the family's 1533-position model. The record is from RNAcentral.
ACUCCUACGGGAGGCAGCAGUGGGGAAUUUUGGACAAUGGGCGAAAGCCUGAUCCAGCAAUGCCGCGUGCAGGAAGAAGGCCUUCGGGUUGUAAACUGCUUUUGUACGGAACGAAACGGUCUGUUUUAAUAAAGCGGGCUAAUGACGGUACCGUAAGAAUAAGCACCGGCUAACUACGUGCCAGCAGCCGCGGUAAUACGUAGGGUGCGAGCGUUAAUCGGAAUUACUGGGCGUAAAGCGUGCGCAGGCGGUGAUGUAAGACGGUUGUGAAAUCCCCGGGCUCAACCUGGGAAUUGCAUCUGUGACUGCAUCGCUAGAGUACGGUAGAGGGGGAUGGAAUUCCGCGUGUAGCAGUGAAAUGCGUAGAUAUGCGGAGGAACACCGAUGGCGAAGGCAAUCCCCUGGACCUGUACUGAC